UACGAAGGGUGCAAGCGUUACUCGGAAUUACUGGGCGUAAAGCGUGCGUAGGUGGUUCGUUAAGUCUGAUGUGAAAGCCCUGGGCUCAACCUGGGAAUGGCAUUGGAAACUGGCGACCUAGAGUGCGGCAGAGGGUAGUGGAAUUCCCGGUGUAGCAGUGAAAUGCGUAGAGAUCGGGAGGAACAUCUGUGGCGAAGGCGACUGCCUGGACCAGCACUGACACUGAGGCACGAAAGCGUGGGGAGCAAACAGG
This 253-nucleotide ribosomal RNA is filed under the name uncultured bacterium. RNAcentral's name for it is "partial 16S ribosomal RNA". It matches the Rfam family "Bacterial small subunit ribosomal RNA", at positions 524 to 776 of the family's 1533-position model. The record is from RNAcentral.